UCACAAACCCACCCCUGCCAAACCCUAACGACGCUACCCUAAAUUCCCCCAUCGCCGGAGGCGGUGCCACCACAGACCGACCUCAAAUUAACACCAAAUACCCUCCUCAACUCCCUCAAUCCAAAUCUACAAGCACUUUCCAUCGAACAAGCCCAGAACGUCUCAAAUCUUGAUUUGAAAGAAAACCCUAGUGCCACCCCUGUGUUCUCCGGUGGCGGCGCCACCUCUGUUCAACCCCAAAUCAAUACCAAAGAAUCUCCAUGGCUCCCUCUUCCCCAAUCCGGUAGCAUUUCCCCUCGAAUCACCCUAAUCCUUUUCGAAUCUUAAAUCGAAAAUCAGAGCGCUAAAAUCCCAAGACCCCAAAUCAGUGAGUUGAUGAAAUUUUGAGGCCGAAAUCGAUCUUAAUCGUGUGUUUUCGCUUGAGAAUAUAUAAUUAAGGCCCGUUUUGGUCAAAAAUCGAAGCUUCCUUUAAAAGUUUUCAAGAUUUUACCUGCUUGGUUUAGGUAUGUUCAGUUUCAUUUCCUUCCUUUCAUUUUUUUUCUCUUCUUCUUCUUUUUGUUUCAUUUAAAGUUCUAGUCUUCAUUUUUUUUUAAAUUAGUUCUGUUUAUGUGUUUUAAAAUCAAAGUUAUUCGUGCAUGUCAUUUAAUUUCUUUGUUCUGUGUGUUAUUUCAUUUUUUAGUUUUCAAAGAAAGGAAAUCCGAAUUUCUCUUGGGUAAUUCUAUCUAGCCCAACGAUUCUAUAUGGGCUCUGUUAGACAGAGGCCUAGGAGAAAGGAUUUAGCCCGGUCUUGUAGACCAGGUCUGGUUUGAACCAUUGGGUUAAUUUGACCCAUUGGUUUCCUAAAAAAACCGGGGGGAUGGGGGUUAUUUUAGGAAUUCUAUGUUAGGGAAUCUUCAAUAACUGAACAAGGAAGCUUCUUAGAAGCUGGGGUUGGGACUUGUGUGAAAACCUGAUUUUUAGAUUAAAGACUAAAUAGCAAAAACGAAAACUUCAGAAGGACUAAAAUAAAAAAACUGAACCCUUAAGGCUGCCCUGUUUUCUUGCCUAUAAAGGCAUCAUUUCUUGCCUUUCAAGGCAGACCCAAGAGCUGAAAAGAAGAAAAGCUCAGAAAAAUACAAAAAAAUGGCAGGAAUUUUACUGUUUCAUUGAAUUUCAGUGAGUUUGGAUUCCUUUUCAACUUUUGAAACUACUUUUACUCGUCCGAGUGGAAAGGGACUGAACUUGGUCGCCAAGGUUGGGUCUAAAGUUUUGUUGGGCUACUGAGUGUUUGAGUCUAUUGUAUUGAGCUGCUGCACAUCAUUUCUGGGGUUGGGACUAGUUUUGCUGGUUGUUUCAGUGUAGAUUCUUGUUGCUGCUCCUGUUGAUUUUUCAUUUUUGUCUUUGUUCAUUCCUAGGUACACAUCUCUACACUUUAUUCGAAUGUAAAGCUUGAUGUGGGAAAUCAGAAAAAUGAAAUCUGGAGCUCUGAAUUGUAUUCACAGUUAGUUGUGUUCACAUUUUAAUCUACUUGUCUAUUUUUCUUUUUUAGGAAAUUUCGCUUAUUGCCUUUUAAACUCUGAAUAUGUGAUCAGAGACCGAGCUUC
Molecule: long non-coding RNA, 1583 nt
Filed under: Nicotiana tabacum (common tobacco)
Lineage: Eukaryota; Viridiplantae; Streptophyta; Magnoliopsida; Solanales; Solanaceae
Description: long non-coding RNA (NTAB_LNC016410)
Source: RNAcentral